Molecule: ribosomal RNA, 735 nt
Filed under: uncultured bacterium
Lineage: Bacteria
Description: bacterial SSU rRNA
Rfam family: Bacterial small subunit ribosomal RNA
Source: RNAcentral
AAUUCGAUUAGAGUUUGAUCCUGGCUCAGAUUGAACGCUGGCGGCAUGCCUUACACAUGCAAGUCGAACGGUAACAGGUCUUCGGAUGCUGACGAGUGGCGAACGGGUGAGUAAUACAUCGGAACGUGCCCGAUCGUGGGGGAUAACGAAGCGAAAGCUUUGCUAAUACCGCAUAAGAUCUACGGAUGAAAGCAGGGGACCGCAAGGCCUUGCGCGAACGGAGCGGCCGAUGGCAGAUUAGGUAGUUGGUGGGAUAAAAGCUUACCAAGCCGACGAUCUGUAGCUGGUCUGAGAGGACGACCAGCCACACUGGGACUGAGACACGGCCCAGACUCCUACGGGAGGCAGCAGUGGGGAAUUUUGGACAAUGGGCGAAAGCCUGAUCCAGCCAUGCCGCGUGCAGGAUGAAGGCCUUCGGGUUGUAAACUGCUUUUGUACGGAACGAAAAGACUCUGGUUAAUACCUGGGGUCCAUGACGGUACCGUAAGAAUAAGCACCGGCUAACUACGUGCCAGCAGCCGCGGUAAUACGUAGGGUGCAAGCGUUAAUCGGAAUUACUGGGCGUAAAGCGUGCGCAGGCGGUUAUAUAAGACAGAUGUGAAAUCCCUGGGCUCAACCUGGGAACUGCAUUUGUGACUGUAUAGCUAGAGUACGGCAGAGGGGGAUGGAAUUCCGCGUGUAGCAGUGAAAUGCGUAGAUAUGCGGAGGAACACCGAUGGCGAAGGCAAUCCCCUG